GCUCGGGUGGCGAAAUUGGUAAACGCGCUAGAUUCAGGGUCUAGUGUCCAAUUAGACGUGCUGGUUCGAUUCCAGUGUCGGGCACAA
Molecule: transfer RNA, 87 nt
Filed under: Fidelibacterota bacterium
Lineage: Bacteria; Pseudomonadati; Fidelibacterota
Description: Candidatus Marinimicrobia bacterium tRNA-Leu
Rfam family: tRNA
About the family: Transfer RNA (tRNA) molecules are approximately 80 nucleotides in length. Their secondary structure includes four short double-helical elements and three loops (D, anti-codon, and T loops).
Source: RNAcentral